RNAcentral lists this ribosomal RNA (1436 nucleotides) under uncultured organism. RNAcentral's name for it is "SSU rRNA". It matches the Rfam family "Bacterial small subunit ribosomal RNA". The record is from RNAcentral.
UACAGGCUUAACACAUGCAAGUCGAGGGGCAGCAUGGUCUUAGCUUGCUAAGGCCGAUGGCGACCGGCGCACGGGUGAGUAACGCGUAUCCAACCUGCCUUACACUCUUGGACAGCCUUCUGAAAGGGAGAUUAAUACAAGAUGUUAUCAUGAGUAAGCAUUUUCGCAUGAUUAAAGGUUUACCGGUGUAAGAUGGGGAUGCGUUCCAUUAGAUAGUAGGCGGGGUAACGGCCCACCUAGUCUUCGAUGGAUAGGGGUUCUGAGAGGAAGGUCCCCCACAUUGGAACUGAGACACGGUCCAAACUCCUACGGGAGGCAGCAGUGAGGAAUAUUGGUCAAUGGACGAGAGUCUGAACCAGCCAAGUAGCGUGAAGGAUGAAGGUUCUAUGGAUUGUAAACUUCUUUUAUACGGGAAUAAACGAAUCCACGUGUGGAUUUUUGCAUGUACCGUAUGAAUAAGGAUCGGCUAACUCCGUGCCAGCAGCCGCGGUAAUACGGAGGAUCCGAGCGUUAUCCGGAUUUAUCGGGUUUAAAGGGAGCGUAGAUGGGUUGUUAAGUCAGUUGUGAAAGUUUGCGGCUCAACCGUAAAAUUGCAAUUGAUACUGGCAGUCUUGAGUACAGUUGAGGUAGGCGGAAUUCGUGGUGUAGCGGUGAAAUGCUUAGAUAUCACGAAGAACUCCGAUUGCGAAGGCAGCUUACUAACCUGUAACUGACAUUGAUGCUCGAAAGUGUGGGUAUCAAACAGGAUUAGAUACCCUGGUAGUCCACACGGUAAACGAUGAAUACUCGCUGUAGGCGAUAUACAGUCUGCGGCCAAGCGAAAGCAUUAAGUAUUCCACCUGGGGAGUACGCCGGCAACGGUGAAACUCAAAGGAAUUGACGGGGGCCCGCACAAGCGGAGGAACAUGUGGUUUAACUCGAUGAUACGCGAGGAACCUUACCCGGGCUUAAAUUGCAACCGAAUAUGGCGGAAACGCUAUAGCUAGCAAUAGCGGUUGUGAAGGUGCUGCAUGGUUGUCGUCAGCUCGUGCCGUGAGGUGUCGGCUUAAGUGCCAUAACGAGCGCAACCCUUGCCGAUAGUUACUAACAGGUCAUGCUGAGGACUCUGUCGGGACUGCCAUCGUAAGAUGUGAGGAAGGUGGGGAUGACGUCAAAUCAGCACGGCCCUUACGUCCGGGGCUACACACGUGUUACAAUGGGGGGGUACAGAGGGCUGCUACCACGCAAGUGGAUGCCAAUCCCAAAAACCUCUCUCAGUUCGGAUUGAAGUCUGCAACCCGACUUCAUGAAGCUGGAUUCGCUAGUAAUCGCGCAUCAGCCACGGCGCGGUGAAUACGUUCCCGGGCCUUGUACACACCGCCCGUCAAGCCAUGGGAGCCGGGGGUACCUGAAGUGCGUAACCGCAAGGAGCGCCCUAGGGUAAAACUGGUGACUGG